CUGAGUACGGCGGAACACGUGAAAUUCCGUCGGAAUCCGGGAGGACCAUCUCCCAAGGCUAAAUACUCCCUAGUGACCGAUAGUGAACCAGUACCGUGAGGGAAAGGUGAAAAGCACCCCGGAAGGGGAGUGAAACAGUUCCUGAAACCGUGUGCCUACAAGUAGUUAGAGCCCGUUAAUGGGUGAUAGCGUGCCUUUUGUAGAAUGAACCGGCGAGUUACGAUUUGUUGCAAGGUUAAGCGGAAAAAGCGGAGCCGUAGCGAAAGCGAGUCUGAAUAGGGCGCAUAAGUAACAGGUCGUAGACCCGAAACCAGGUGAUCUACCCAUGUCCAGGAUGAAGGUAAGGUAAUACUUACUGGAGGUCCGAACCCACGCACGUUGAAAAGUGCGGGGAUGAGGUGUGGGUAGCGGAGAAAUUCCAAUCGAACUUGGAGAUAGCUGGUUCUCUCCGAAAUAGCUUUAGGGCUAGCCUCGAGGUAAAGAGUCAUGGAGGUAGAGCACUGUUUGGACUAGGGGCCCUUCUCGGGUUACCGAAUUCAGAUAAACUCCGAAUGCCAUGUACUUAUACUCGGGAGUCAGACUGCGAGUGAUAAGAUCCGUAGUCGAAAGGGAAACAGCCCAGACCACCAGUUAAGGUCCCCAAAUAUAUGUUAAGUGGAAAAGGAUGUGGGGUUGCUUAGACAACCAGGAUGUUGGCUUAGAAGCAGCCACCAUUGAAAGAGUGCGUAAUAGCUCACUGGUCGAGUGACCCCGCGCCGAAAAUGUACCGGGGCUAAACAUAUUACCGAAACUGUGGAUGAACCUCUUUAGAGGUUCGUGGUAGGAGAGCGUUCUAAGGGCGGUGAAGUCAGACCGGAAGGACUGGUGGAGCGCUUAGAAGUGAGAAUGCCGGUAUGAGUAGCGAAAGAAGGGUGAGAAUCCCUUCCACCGAAUAUCUAAGGUUUCCUGAGGAAGGCUCGUCCGCUCAGGGUUAGUCGGGACCUAAGCCGAGGCCGAUAGGCGUAGGCGAUGGACAACAGGUAGAGAUUCCUGUACCAGUGCUAAUUGUUUAACCGAUGGGGUGACACAGAAGGAUAGGGAAUCGCACGAAUGGAAAUGUGCGUCCAAGCAGUGAGUGUGAGAAGUAGGCAAAUCCGCUUCUCGCGAAGCAUGAGCUGUGAUGGGGAAGGAAAUUAAGUACGGAAGUUCCUGAUUUCACGCUGUCAAGAAAAGCCUCUAGGAAGAGUAGUACUGCCCGUACCGCAAACCGACACAGGUAGAUGAGGAGAGAAUCCUAAGGUGAGCGAGAGAACUCUCGUUAAGGAACUCGGCAAAAUGACCCCGUAACUUCGGGAGAAGGGGUGCUCUAUUAGGGUGCAAGCCCGAGAGAGCCGCAGUGAAUAGGCCCAGGCGACUGUUUAGCAAAAACACAGGUCUCUGCAAAACCGUAAGGUGACGUAUAGGGGCUGACGCCUGCCCGGUGCUGGAAGGUUAAGAGGAGUGCUUAGCUUCGGCGAAGGUACGAAUUGAAGCCCCAGUAAACGGCGGCCGUAACUAUAACGGUCCUAAGGUAGCGAAAUUCCUUGUCGGGUAAGUUCCGACCCGCACGAAAGGCGCAACGAUCUGGGCACUGUCUCAACGAGAGACUCGGUGAAAUUAUAGUACCUGUGAAGAUGCAGGUUACCCGCGACAGGACGGAAAGACCCCGUGGAGCUUUACUGCAACCUGAUAUGGAAUGUUUGUACCGCUUGUACAGGAUAGGUAGGAGCCGAAGAGACGUGUGCGCUAGCAUACGAGGAGGCAAUGGUGGGAUACUACCCUGGCUGUAUGACCAUUCUAACCCGCCACGCUUAGCGCGUGGGGAGACAGUGUCAGGUGGGCAGUUUGACUGGGGCGGUCGCCUCCUAAAGAGUAACGGAGGCGCCCAAAGGUUCCCUCAGAAUGGAUGGAAAUCAUUCGCAGAGUGUAAAGGCACAAGGGAGCUUGACUGCGAGACUGACAAGUCGAGCAGGGACGAAAGUCGGGCUUAGUGAUCCGGUGGUUCCGCAUGGAAGGGCCAUCGCUCAACGGAUAAAAGCUACCCCGGGGAUAACAGGCUUAUCUCCCCCAAGAGUCCACAUCGACGGGGAGGUUUGGCACCUCGAUGUCGGCUCGUCGCAUCCUGGGGCUGUAGUCGGUCCCAAGGGUUGGGCUGUUCGCCCAUUAAAGCGGCACGCGAGCUGGGUUCAGAACGUCGUGAGACAGUUC
This 2226-nucleotide ribosomal RNA is filed under the name Listeria monocytogenes. RNAcentral describes it as "partial 23S ribosomal RNA". It matches the Rfam family "Bacterial large subunit ribosomal RNA", at positions 408 to 2632 of the family's 2925-position model. The record is from RNAcentral. Lineage: Bacteria; Bacillati; Bacillota; Bacilli; Caryophanales; Listeriaceae.